ACGUAGGCAGCGAGCGUUGUUCGGAGUUACUGGGCGUAAAGGGUAUGUAGGCGGUUGUUUAAGUUUGGUGUGAAAUCUCCCGGCUCAACUGGGAGGGUGCGCCGAAUACUGAAUGACUUCGAGUGCGGGAGAGGAAAGUGGAAUUCCUGGUGUAGCGGUGAAAUGCGUAGAUAUCAAGAGGAACACCUGAGGUGAAGACGGGUUGCUGGGCCGACACUGACGCUGAGUGCGCGAAAGCCAGGGGAGCAAACGGGA
This 255-nucleotide ribosomal RNA is filed under the name uncultured prokaryote. RNAcentral describes it as "partial 16S ribosomal RNA". It matches the Rfam family "Bacterial small subunit ribosomal RNA", at positions 525 to 777 of the family's 1533-position model. The record is from RNAcentral.